AUUGAACGCUGGCGGCGUGCCUAACACAUGCAAGUCGAACGGAGCUAUAAGAAGUUUUCGGACGGAAUAUAGCUUAGUGGCGGACGGGUGAGUAACGCGUGGGUAACCUGCCUCAUACAGGGGGAUAACAGUUGGAAACGACUGCUAAAACCGCAUAAGAUUGUAGUAUCGCAUGAUACAGCAAUAAAAUAUUUAUAGGUAUGAGAUGGGCCCGCGUCUGAUUAGCUAGUUGGUGAGGUAAUGGCUCACCAAGGCGACGAUCAGUAGCCGGCUUGAGAGAGUGACCGGCCACAUUGGGACUGAGACACGGCCCAAACUCCUACGGGUGGCUG
RNAcentral lists this ribosomal RNA (332 nucleotides) under uncultured Bacillota bacterium. RNAcentral describes it as "bacterial SSU rRNA". It matches the Rfam family "Bacterial small subunit ribosomal RNA", at positions 30 to 351 of the family's 1533-position model. Lineage: Bacteria; Bacillati; Bacillota. The record is from RNAcentral.